AGUGAACGCUGGCGGUAGGCCUAACACAUGCAAGUCGAACGGCAGCACAGUAAGAGCUUGCUCUUACGGGUGGCGAGUGGCGGACGGGUGAGGAAUACAUCGGAAUCUACUUUUUCGUGGGGGAUAACGUAGGGAAACUUACGCUAAUACCGCAUACGACCUACGGGUGAAAGCAGGGAUCUUCGGACCUUGCGCGAGUGAAUGAGCCGAUUUCGGAUUAGCUAGUUGGCGGGGUAAAGGCCCACCAAGGCGACGAUCCGUAGCUGGUCUGAGAGGAUGAGCAGCCACAUUGGAACUGAGACACGGUCCAGACUCCUACGGGAGGCAGCAGUGGGGAAUAUUGGACAAUGGGCGCAAGCCUGAUCCAGCCAUACCGCGUGGGUGAAGAAGGCCUUCGGGUUGUAAAGCCCUUUUGUUGGGAAAGAAAAUCAGCAGGUUAAUACCCCGCUGUUCUGACGGUACCCAAAGAAUAAGCACCGGCUAACUUCGUG
This 491-nucleotide ribosomal RNA is filed under the name uncultured bacterium. RNAcentral's name for it is "partial 16S ribosomal RNA". It matches the Rfam family "Bacterial small subunit ribosomal RNA", at positions 29 to 507 of the family's 1533-position model. The record is from RNAcentral.